RNAcentral lists this transfer RNA (73 nucleotides) under Podarcis lilfordi (Lilford's wall lizard). It matches the Rfam family "tRNA". Rfam says of the family: Transfer RNA (tRNA) molecules are approximately 80 nucleotides in length. Their secondary structure includes four short double-helical elements and three loops (D, anti-codon, and T loops). The record is from Rfam by way of RNAcentral. Lineage: Eukaryota; Metazoa; Chordata; Lepidosauria; Squamata; Lacertidae.
GCUGGAAUAGCUCAGUAGGUAGAGCACGAGACUCUUAAUCUCAGGGACGUGGGUUUGAGUCCCAUAUCAGGCA